UCCCCCGUAGCUCAGCAGGGAGAGCGCCACCUUGACAGGGUGGAGGUCGUGAGCUCGAGCCUCUCCGGGGUCA
This 73-nucleotide transfer RNA is filed under the name Bacillus pseudomycoides. RNAcentral describes it as "tRNA-Val". Lineage: Bacteria; Bacillati; Bacillota; Bacilli; Caryophanales; Bacillaceae. The record is from RNAcentral.